RNAcentral lists this ribosomal RNA (468 nucleotides) under uncultured bacterium. Its description in RNAcentral is "partial 16S ribosomal RNA". It matches the Rfam family "Bacterial small subunit ribosomal RNA", at positions 28 to 507 of the family's 1533-position model. The record is from RNAcentral.
GACGAACGCUGGCGGCGUGCUUAACACAUGCAAGUCGAACGGAAAGGCCCUGCUUUUGUGGGGUGCUCGAGUGGCGAACGGGUGAGUAACACGUGAGUAACCUGCCCUUGACUUUGGGAUAACUUCAGGAAACUGGGGCUAAUACCGGAUAGGAGCUCCUGCUGCAUGGUGGGGGUUGGAAAGUUUCGGCGGUUGGGGAUGGACUCGCGGCUUAUCAGCUUGUUGGUGGGGUAGUGGCUUACCAAGGCUUUGACGGGUAGCCGGCCUGAGAGGGUGGCCGGCCAAAAUGGGACUGGGAUGCGGCCCAGACUCCUACGGGAGGCAGCAGUGGGGAAUAUUGCACAAUGGGCGGGAGCCUGAUGCAGCAACGCCGCGUGCGGGAUGACGGCCUUCGGGUUGGAAACCGCUUUCGCCUGUGACGAAGCGUGAGUGACGGUAAUGGGUAAAGAAGCACCGGCUAACUACGUG